RNAcentral lists this transfer RNA (72 nucleotides) under Camelus ferus (Wild Bactrian camel). It matches the Rfam family "tRNA". Rfam says of the family: Transfer RNA (tRNA) molecules are approximately 80 nucleotides in length. The record is from Rfam by way of RNAcentral. Lineage: Eukaryota; Metazoa; Chordata; Mammalia; Artiodactyla; Camelidae.
GAGGGUGUAGCUCAGUGGUAGAGCGUGCAUCUAGCAUGCACAAGGCCCUGGGUUCAAUCCCCAGUGCCUCCA